Molecule: long non-coding RNA, 607 nt
Filed under: Pan troglodytes (chimpanzee)
Lineage: Eukaryota; Metazoa; Chordata; Mammalia; Primates; Hominidae
Description: lincRNA
Source: RNAcentral
AAUCAUUUAUUAAGCAUUGCCCUGGCCUAAGGCACCACAUGGGUCAUUUCUUCCAGGCUCCAACUUGCUUCUGCUUUGCCAUAUGGUAACACACCGUAUUAUGGAAGCACCAUCAUUACCGCCAUUUGCAGGGGAAGCCUAAAGAGAUAAAUGCCAGCCAGCAUCCCUGUCUCUGGGGCCCUGGAGAGGCCUUCAACACACCUGGCCUCACUGCCCUGUGGCUUCAACAAAGAGGCCGAGCAUCUCCUAUAAACCUUGAGGUCCAUGGAUGACAUAGCGGAAUGAUGGAUUUCAGAAAAGGCAGGUGCUUCUCACUCUUUAAAUUUUUGUUUAUUCUUUCCAAGUUUCCCAUCAACAGCCCUGCAGUAAAAAUUCAGGGCUUCAGAGACAAACAUUUCAUGAGUACAGACUGUGAUGAGGAAAAGCAAGCCAUUCCCUCUCUACCAGGAUCCAGAGCACACUGCUGUUACGACUCCGGAACCGAUAAGGAAGCUAUGUGUGGAAGUACGAGCUCGGGUCGCCUUCUGACCCUCUGUGACGGUCUAUUUCAGGCAGUUAUGGAUAGAUAACAUUACAGACACUGGUAAUUAAAACAACACUAAUUUUG